This 1345-nucleotide long non-coding RNA is filed under the name Monodelphis domestica (gray short-tailed opossum). Its description in RNAcentral is "lncRNA (ENSMODG00000042408.1)". The record is from RNAcentral. Lineage: Eukaryota; Metazoa; Chordata; Mammalia; Didelphimorphia; Didelphidae.
CUGGAGGUCUAAGAAAUUAAAUUAUUUGUCCAAGAUUACAGAGUUAAUAAGUGUCAGAGGUAGGAUAGGAACUCAUGUCCUAUGACUCUGAGUUUCCUCCUUCAAGUUCCUUGUUUUUUCACUUGUACAAUACUCUACCUUUAUAUUUCAGAGGAGGAAACUAGGGCCCAGAAGGAAAAAGGAAAUCAGAAUUGGUCAUCCAUCUGGUCAGUUGCAGAAGUGGGACUAGAAUAUAGGCUGCCCAAAUCUCAGACCCAAGGCAGAGUGGAUUUCGGAGUCCAAAGAUGCCGCGGUCCCCAAAGGAGUUUGCGGACCUGGCCCCCUCGCCCUGGCCUGGGUAAGUGAUUCCAGAAGAGAGCGGGGUGAGCAGAGCUGCGAAAGCCAGCCUCCCCUCUCUUCCCCUCCCCUCGUCUUCUCUCCUUUCCCCUCCUCCCCUCCAUUGCGCUCUACUCUCCUCCCGCCCCCCCUCCACCACCUCCCUGGCCCUCGCCGCCCCCUCUCGAGUGACUCCCCCCGCCCCCUCCCCCUGCCCUCGGCGCAGCUGGGCUCCUUUUGGAUUGGGGAGCAUCUCUGGCUCAGAGUCUUUUGAAGCAGCUGUGGGGGGUGGGGAGUGGGGGGAAAGAGGGUGGUUGGGGGCGGCGCAGGGUUGGGGCAGCGAUAUGAGGAGGCUGGGGGGCCCUCCCUCCAGUCUGCUUGUCCCUCCCACCCCUCCUCCGCCCCGAGGUUAAACCCCAUUCCUGGCACUUGAAGGCCCCUCAGGUCCUUGCUGCGUUCUCUGCCCGGUCUUGUUGCUCUGUCAGGCCAGGUAGAGAGAGCAGGGUAUCCUGACGUGGGCACCUGGUAGGAAGCUAGCAAGGAGCGGCUGGACAGUUCAACUCUGGGAAGGUGCAACUGGAAGGCUGAAGGAUGAGGGCGGGGGUAGAGGUGGGCACUGGGGCAUAGGAGACAGCUCCUAGCUUCAGGGUCAAAAGGCCUUGUUCUGAUUGGUUGCGUUGUUUCCUCUGUCCAUACUUCCCUCCCCCACAAUUCCCCGGAGAACAUCUUCUCUCUGGUCAGCUGUGGGGCAGCAGAGACACCAAAGAAGCGGCUCUUUCCAAGAGAGUGUCCUUGCUCAAACCUGGAUCUUUGGGGUUAUUUUGCUCUGGCUCCCCAAGUUUCCUUGGUGGUACCUUCUUAGUUUAGGACAGAGGAGUUAGGGAUGGGGGCAGACCCCUGACGAACAACAGCAGAAGAAUUUUCCAUUCUUGUCGGAUUUGUGUUAGGGAUGACUCCAAGACACAGAUAGGGAGGUAGGCUGCUGAGGAGGUAGAUAGCAGUACUGCACCGUAUUGGUGCAUCUAAUACA